Molecule: ribosomal RNA, 411 nt
Filed under: uncultured Mycobacterium sp.
Lineage: Bacteria; Bacillati; Actinomycetota; Actinomycetes; Mycobacteriales; Mycobacteriaceae
Description: bacterial SSU rRNA
Rfam family: Bacterial small subunit ribosomal RNA
Source: RNAcentral
ACGUGGGUGAUCUGCCCUGCACUCCGGGAUAAGCCUGGGAAACUGGGUCUAAUACCGGAUAGGACCGCAUGCUGCAUGGUGUGUGGUGCAAAGCUUUUGCGGUGUGGGAUGAGCCCGCGGCCUAUCAGCUUGUUGGUGGGGUAAUGGCCUACCAAGGCGACGACGGGUAGCCGGCCUGAGAGGGUGACCGGCCACACUGGGACUGAGAUACGGCCCAGACUCCUACGGGAGGCAGCAGUGGGGAAUAUUGCACAAUGGGCGCAAGCCUGAUGCAGCGACGCCGCGUGAGGGAUGACGGCCUUCGGGUUGUAAACCUCUUUCAGUAGGGACGAAGCGAAAGUGACGGUACCUACAGAAGAAGCACCGGCCAACUACGUGCCAGCAGCCGCGGUAAUACGUAGGGUCCGAGCG